This 717-nucleotide ribosomal RNA is filed under the name Triticum aestivum (bread wheat). RNAcentral describes it as "partial small subunit ribosomal RNA". The record is from RNAcentral. Lineage: Eukaryota; Viridiplantae; Streptophyta; Magnoliopsida; Poales; Poaceae.
GUGUCCAACGUCUAUGCCCCCUGUGCCCAUGCGAAGAAAGCCGACUUCCUUUCCGAGCUCUCCACCCAUGCUCCCACCGUCUCCACCCCCUGGGCUAUUGUUGGAGAUUUUAACCUCGCUCGAACCCCUGCUGACCGUAACACGGACACCUUCUCGCGUUCAGAGGCAACUCUGUUUAACGACUUCAUCAACGGGCUCGCGCUCAUCGAUCUCCCGCUUCGGGAUCGGUUAUAUACUUGGUCCAACCGCCAAUCCUCCCCCAUCCUUGCUCGCCUCGACCGCGUUCUUGUUAAAAUGGAUUGGGAUGCCAUGUUCCCUAUGUCCACCCUUUUGUCCUUCUCCCGCUCAACCACCGACCACGUCCCCCUACUCGCCACCAUUUCCUCUCGCGCCCCCCGCUCUACUGUUUUUCGGUUCGAGAAAGCUUGGGCGCUCCACCCCUCCUUCCGCCAUACUAUUGCUUCUGCAUGGUCCUCGACCUUCCGUCCGGAUGCGACAUCACGCCUCGUUGCUCACUUGCGCCAAUGCAGGCUCAGUUGCAAGCGCUGGGCUAGACGUCUGUCUCUGGCUGCCGUCCGAGAGCAGGACUGUCGCUUCCUCAUUAACAUUUUGGACCGUUUGGAAGAAAUGCGCGCUCUCUCUCACCUCGAGUCUCUGCUUCGCUCUCUCACCAUUGACGCCCUCCGUGUCUCCAUCAAAGAACGCGUCCUCUACUAG